RNAcentral lists this ribosomal RNA (4411 nucleotides) under Triticum aestivum (bread wheat). Its description in RNAcentral is "partial small subunit ribosomal RNA". The record is from RNAcentral. Lineage: Eukaryota; Viridiplantae; Streptophyta; Magnoliopsida; Poales; Poaceae.
UGGUCGGGGUCUAAGCAAGGUGUAGGGGGCCAAGGAACGGGAGAGGGAGAGAGACCUGCUGGAGGGGGCGGCGGCGGCGGUGGUGCAGAAGAGAAGAGGGGAGUGGAGAGGGGUAGGUGGUCGCUGGAGGAGGACAAGGGGAGGGCGUCUAACUCGUCGUCCGACGCUCCCGUGCAGCACCGUCCUCCACCUCGUCUCGCCUAGACGCCCAGCAGCGGCAAGAAGGCGAGCUCCGGUGGGAGCAGGUGCAUGAAGAGCGGUGGUACGCACCUGCGGCCACUCCGGUGGGAAGGGAGGUGUGUGUCCAUGAGGGGGCGGGGGAAGGUACGGGAGAUGGAAAGGGAUUAAAUCGAGAGAAGGGACUGGUACAGAUAGAAGAUGUGUAUCUCUCGACACCACCGACCUGUGGUCCCAUGGUUUAACCUCCGAUUUAUUCGUAUAUACAGGUUAAGAGUCUGAUCUAAAAUUACUUCCUUCAACGUCAAGUAAUGUGACGUUUAAUACUUAUACCUAGGUAGGAAGACACGAUUACUUCCCCACCUACAUUAUUCCGACGACCGUUACGUACCUACGAAUCUACUCCACGAUUCGUGUAAUUUAUCGAAUCGUUGAUAUGAGGGGUUACGUAUCCACGAAUCGAAUACCAACGAUUCGAACGAAGUAAAUUACUAAAUUGUUGAUUUCGAGAAGUACAUAACCACCCGAGGUAAGAAAAUUUAUAAAACGGAUCCAAGUGCACGAAUCGUAACCAAGAAGGACUCCAGUGGUGUGGGUAGAGAGGGGAGAAUUUAUUGAACGGUGUAGUCUAAAAAACGGAUGCACCUUCCGAAUCGUGGACAUGUUCCACCUCGUAACCCUCCCCGGAUUCUUAACAUACACUGUUUGCCCACGAAGGAUAUCCAUAAGAAAGAACGUAGGAUUACAUAUCAUAUGGAUGGAAAAUGCUGGCGCCUUAGAAAAAGGUACUGAUCUAACCGAGAGAGUGAAAAGAGGACAGGUACGAAAAGGUUUAUAAAGUGUAGACUACAAGACGAAGGCGAACAGAUAUAGUGCCACGCGUGACGGGUACCUCGAAGUCUACUUGGUCAAAUGAAAAUCGCCACGUAAGGUGUUAUCGCCGAGAGUGUAAAAAAAGUGUACAAAAUUUUAUACGUAUAAAACUACAUGACCAACGUCAUUGUCUCGACUUAGUGAGCAACAUACGAUGAAGUAUAAACGUAUAGGGGAAAGAAUGUUCGAUGGUAUCCCCGCACGUAGUACGAUAUUCAAAUAUGAUGUUAUUAAUGAGGGUCUAACUUAAAACACAGGUGAUAUCUUAGAAGUUUUUUCUUCAGAUUCUUUUUGAUUUGCCAGUAGAAUUACCCUGAAUUAUAUAGGUUUUUCGCGUACUGAGUUCAAGGUAAUGAAUGUAAAUUGUAGAGUGAACGACGUGAGUAGAAGACAAAUCGAGACGAAAAGGUAGAUCGAAGUGAAUCGUAAAAUAAGACUAGCGUUAGAUACGACAAGUUCGUACUAAUAGAGGAUGUAUUUGUACGAGGUAAUGUACGAAAAUGUUUUGACUUAGUUUUAUUUGAUUGAAGUAAAUUCUUUAACAAAAGUGUGACUGUCCUCUGUACAUUGAGUCUCGUAAAGUAAAGGUAGGUGACGAGACAUAGAAGCGGAAAGUACAAUGUUAAUUUAAGUAGGUGACGUCAUAAUUGAUAAAAGGGAAUGGUGUCUUUUCUUUACCGUUCCUUUGUCUCCCGCGUCCUGAUGAUCUCCGUUUCUGUCUGCCUGCGCCAGCCUCGUCAUACCGUCGCAGCUACCCCUACCUCCUCGCGUGUCUCUACGACGCCUCGUGACGACUACUCGAACAGCCGUCCUGCUCGACGUGAGUGACGACGUGCCGUUGGGGCCGGGCCAGACGAAGCUGUCCAAACUCGGGAGGCAGUGGCUGGCGCACGUGUAGAUCGUCCCACAACCCUUCCACUAGUUACACUUGUUCUACCAGUCCCGGUCUAUAUCUCAUUUUUAGGAUUAUCGCCUGGUCUCCUGGCCUCACUUCCUGAGCCGUUCUAUUCCUGCAGCCAGCGGUUAAGUGACACUAACUCUAGGCGCAGCAUUGGUCUCUCGUCAACCUGGUACUGUUCCUGCAGCGGUAGCCGAUUAGGCGGUACACCCUAAUAACAAACUGGAAAGUGUCAAGGAGGUCUAAUUAGAUUUCGUAGUUCUAGACAUUCACGAGCACCCAGGAGUUCCACGACCAAGCACUCGAGUCAAACAAACCCUGUAGCUUCCAAUAGAACCCGCUACACGUAGUUGUUUCUUCAAAUGUUAACGUUACUCUAACAAAACUCCUGUUUAGAUGGCUGGCUCCUCGUGCGAUCGGUCCAUAUGUGUCCUCUUCACAUACUUGACAGACACGUUUGGUAUACACUUAGACUUGGGAAGAAUCACCUCCGUCAUUAACGGUUGAACUUUAUGUAUCGUGGCGUAGGGUUGUCAUUUUGGUCCCUUUUUACUAGAUCCAACCUUAUACCCCAGUUACGAUCUCUUCUGCCACUUCGUAAGUACACGUACACGUUCCUCGUCCUCUAGGACACAACGGUACGGCAGUUCCACUACUAGGUGGACCCACACGCACUCUAUGGUUCCAAUGUACAACACGGUGGUUCAACGGUGUCUCGGGACCACUUAGCGUCUACCUAUCACUCGAUACUUUCGUGAGGCACUACGUACAAUUCAAGACUCUGGACCGCGUACUGGGAACACUACUACUUCCCAGGACCCGGAUGUUUCAACAGUACUUCCCGGAGCUGUCUGACUUGGGUCUGGAUCGGCGCGGUUUGCGGCACGGGGCGGCGAUGUUGUUCGGUUGUAAUGCCAUCGGCUCCUAGGAGUAAAUAAGGUUUUCCACGGCUUAUACCAACUGAUUGAGGUCAGGUACUCCUUUCAAGGGACCUUUACACAGUUUUGUUUAUCGACUAUUGGUCGUUAAAAGGUGGUUACCUUCGGGGCACACUAAAUCCAUGGUAAACGAGAGAACCUAAAACAAUAAAUCGGUACAGUACAAUUUAUAAUGCGCCGAACGAUUACAAUAUAUAAAUCAGCGAAUAUACUACAGACAAACCAGCAACGAGAUCGGAGUCUGGGUUCUUUAAACAAACAAACAGGUAAACUGGUUUUAUUAGACACAACGAAAUUUCAGGUCAUUUGUUUCUUUGUUGAAGCUACGUACAUAUACGGAAAGUCAAAGUGAACGUAGGUUAUUUAUAUUAAUACUGUGAACAACAGAACGACACAACAAGUUAAUAGCGGUCCUACAAUUGUUCGGGUAAUAUAUAGGAACCAUUUGGUGUACUAUGACAAAGGAUUAGUGUACAAAAAGGAUGUGUUUGAUAUGCUCAAAAUACGUUUCCAUAGUAGAUUUUCCUUAAUACCCGAAGUAUAUACGAGGUCAUAGUAUCAUAAAAAGGUACCAAGUACCGUUAUUAAAGAGAUGAACCCUAAGGUAUCUUAAGAAAACCAGACGUAUCAAAACAAAAAUGUCAACUUUUUUUGAUUAUUUAAUUGUUCUGGAAAAUACGUAUUAAUACAACGGUACUAUACGUAUUAAUACCAUCAAUCGUAUCACUGAAACUGUGAAAAAUCUAUACGAGGUUGGAACUCAAAUGAGUUAGAGCGUAAUCGGAUAACACAAACUUUAAACGAAUGUACUUUUGUCUACAACUUAAAAGGAAACUAAAUAGUAAACAGUCAAAAAUAGAAAAACUAUAAACGUACCCUACCUAAACUUGAAGUGAGAACGAUUUCGGGACAUACGCUCAAACAAACUCAAUGAACAUCUUGUUUAAUUGUUCCGGAAGAAUCAACCGUUCGCAGCUCAACCCACCAGUUAGUCAAAGGGGGACGUAGACGCUUCACCGUCUUCUUCCGAUGCUACCUACACGAGUCCCGCAACGGUAGAGGUAGGGGCGUGGUAGAAACAGUGUACGUCGUAGACUGAAUGGAGGAGUUCCGUCCUCACCGAGAAGUUCCUCUUACUCUAACUCCUACCUCCGUGACUUGGGCGUACGUACUACUGCUACGUAUUUUCAGUGCAGCCGCCGAGGACGCCCAACUGCAACCGGCGGUUGUUACUGCUCCAGCCGCCGAAACUACACCCCCAGUAGCUGGAAUGGAGACUGCCCUUAAUCAUUAGAAAAAGAAACCAAAAAUCAAUAAUAAUACGAGCCACAGGGCGAAGACGCAACAUUUUUAUUUCACCCUUAAUCAUUAGAAAAAGAAACCAAAAAUCAAUAAUAAUACGAGCCACAGGGCGAAGACGCAACAUUUUUAUUUCACGCACAGGUGAAACUAUUUAUGCCUACAGGUGCCUGAAUCAACCACCAUAGUCAAACCACUAGGUACAACUUCUACGGGAUUAGAGGAA